CAGCCAACAUUCACUGAAGAGCACAUCAAGGAGCUCAUCUGGAGGGAAUCAGUGAAAUUCAAUCCGGAUCCACCCAGUCAGUAAUUCUUUCUUGAAUAAUGAUCACCUGAUAACUCCUGGUCUUGGGUGUACAUCUGGAGAGACACAGGAAGAGGGAAAGAUAAGUGAUUCAUAUGAUUGAUGAUACAAUGAGUGAAGAAGGGAAAUAAAGAGAAAUGAUGGGGGUGUAACGUGUGAAACUAAUAGUUGAGUGACGAGGGAAACGUUAGUAUUCUUUCUUAUUAGGAUAAUGUACCAUGAUACACCUCUUCACUUAAAUACAGUGUCUGUCCACUAUUCAGAUUAGUUGCUAUGUAUAGAAAUUCAGAAAGUUUCACUGUUGUAAUCUAGUCUUAAAGCAUUCAGGAUACAAACCAAAAUGAGUAAUCAUUAGGAAUCAAAUUGGUAGUCAGGGUUUAGGGAAACAAUUAUGAUGACAAAUAUGGUCU
This 488-nucleotide long non-coding RNA is filed under the name Vigna radiata. RNAcentral's name for it is "long non-coding RNA (VRAD_LNC010830)". Lineage: Eukaryota; Viridiplantae; Streptophyta; Magnoliopsida; Fabales; Fabaceae. The record is from RNAcentral.